GUGAGGAAUAUUGGACAAUGGGCGCAAGCCUGAUCCAGCCAUGCCGCGUGCAGGAAGACGCAUCUAUGGUGUGUAAACUGCUUUUGUACGGGAAGAAACACUCCCUCGUGAGGGAGCUUGACGGUACCGUAAGAAUAAGGAUCGGCUAACUCCGUGCCAGCAGCCGCGGUAAUACGGAGGAUCCAAGCGUUAUCCGGCAUCAUUGGGUUUAAAGGGUCCGUAGGCGGUUUAAUAAGUCAGUGGUGAAAGCCCAUCGCUCAACGAUGGAACGGCCAUUGAUACUGUUAGACUUGAAUUACAAGGAAGUAACUAGAAUAUGUAGUGUAGCGGUGAAAUGCUUAGAUAUUACAUGGAAUACCAAUUGCGAAGGCAGGUUACUACUUGUGGAUUGACGCUGAUGGACGAAAGCGUGGGGAGCGAACAGGAUUAGAUACCCCAGUAGUCC
This 445-nucleotide ribosomal RNA is filed under the name uncultured bacterium. Its description in RNAcentral is "partial 16S ribosomal RNA". It matches the Rfam family "Bacterial small subunit ribosomal RNA", at positions 354 to 796 of the family's 1533-position model. The record is from RNAcentral.